Molecule: long non-coding RNA, 430 nt
Filed under: Homo sapiens (human)
Lineage: Eukaryota; Metazoa; Chordata; Mammalia; Primates; Hominidae
Description: IGSF21 antisense RNA 1 (IGSF21-AS1)
Source: RNAcentral
GGGAUGGGGGUGGGAGUCUGCUCCAUGCUUUGGGCAGCUCUCAGGUGGAGUCUCUCUCCCUCUAAGACCGCAGCCUGGGAAGGUUGGAGCUCAAACGAGCACCUGUUGAGUUGCCGUGAGCUGCUUGGAUGUUGCCUCUGCCACCUGCCAGCCUCCCUGAUGGACAGAGUCCCCUCUCGGCUUGGACAGGAACGAGGUGACCAAUGGUCGGUGGCUCCGUAGUCCCACCCCACAGCUGGCUUCUCUGAGCCCUGCACAGUGGCAUCUCCAGGACACCUGCUGCCUCCAUCUAUUGGCAGAGCCGACAGCCCGCGGAGCAGGAGUGGGGAUGGAGGUAAAGACGGUUCCUGUUUCCACAACAGAGUCUCCACGCUGCCUCCCACUUUCAAACCAGAAACUCUCGAGUAGACAGAGAUGCCUUGUGAUCCAA